This 804-nucleotide ribosomal RNA is filed under the name uncultured bacterium. Its description in RNAcentral is "bacterial SSU rRNA". It matches the Rfam family "Bacterial small subunit ribosomal RNA", at positions 8 to 806 of the family's 1533-position model. The record is from RNAcentral.
AGAGUUUGAUCCUGGCUCAGGACGAACGCUGGCGGCGUGCCUAACACAUGCAAGUCGAGCGAGGCUGUUAGAGUGGAAUUUUUCGGAAUGAAACUCUAACUGUCCUAGCGGCGGACGGGUGAGUAACGCGUGAGAAACCUGCCUUUCACAAAGGGAUAGCCUCGGGAAACUGGGAUUAAUACCUUAUGAUACUCUUUUCCAGCAUUGGAGAAAAGUUAAAGCGUAAAGCGGUGAAAGAUGGUCUCGCGUCCCAUUAGUUAGUUGGUGAGGUAACGGCUCACCAAGACCGCGAUGGGUAGCCGGCCUGAGAGGGUGAACGGCCACACUGGAACUGAGACACGGUCCAGACUCCUACGGGAGGCAGCAGUGGGGAAUAUUGCACAAUGGAGGAAACUCUGAUGCAGCGACGCCGCGUGAACGAUGAAGGCUUUCGGGUCGUAAAGUUCUGUCCUAGGGGACGAUAAUGACGGUACCCUAGGAGGAAGCCCCGGCUAACUACGUGCCAGCAGCCGCGGUAAUACGUAGGGGGCGAGCGUUGUCCGGAUUUAUUGGGCGUAAAGGGUUCGCAGGCGGCCCUUUAAGUCAGAUGUGAAAGAUCACGGCUCAACCGUGGUAAGCAUUUGAAACUGGAAGGCUUGAGUUAAGGAGAGGAAAGUGGAAUUCCUAGUGUAGCGGUGAAAUGCGUAUAUAUUAAGGAAGAAUACCAGUAGCGAAGGCGAAUUACUGGCCUCUAACUGACGCUGAUGAACGAAAGGGUGGGGAAGCAAACAAGAAUAAAAACCCCGGGUUACCCCCCGCCCGAAA